CGCGCUUUUCAGGAGGAUCAGUUUCAGACGAGGUAUGAAAGAGUCCAGCCGUGUGAAGUUGAAGUGGACAAGUGGAAGACGUGCCGCUGCCGCCGGACCCCCGAGGGCCCCUUUGGAGUUUACAAACACAGACAUAUGUUAACUGAUGGACUGGAGUGCUGUGGAUUAUUGUGACGUUUUUAUCAGCUGUUUGGACUCUCAUUCUGACGGCACCCAUUCACUGCAGAGCAUCCAUUGAUGAGACACUGAUGCAGUGCUACAUUUCUACAAAUCUGAUGACAAAACAAACUCAUUCUAAUCUUGGAU
Molecule: long non-coding RNA, 306 nt
Organism: Cyprinus carpio carpio
Lineage: Eukaryota; Metazoa; Chordata; Actinopteri; Cypriniformes; Cyprinidae
Source: Ensembl